UACGUAGGGGGCAAGCGUUGUCCGGAAUCAUUGGGCGUAAAGAGCGUGUAGGCGGUCCGGUAAGUCGGCUGUGAAAGUCCAGGGCUCAACCCUGGGAUGCCGGUGGAUACUGUCGGGCUCGAGUCCGGAAGAGGAGUGUGGAAUUCCUGGUGUAGCGGUGAAAUGCGCAGAUAUCAGGAGGAACACCAAUGGCGAAGGCAGCACUCUGGGACGUGACUGACGCUGAGACGCGAAAGCGUGGGGAGCAAACAGG
This 253-nucleotide ribosomal RNA is filed under the name uncultured bacterium. Its description in RNAcentral is "partial 16S ribosomal RNA". It matches the Rfam family "Bacterial small subunit ribosomal RNA", at positions 524 to 776 of the family's 1533-position model. The record is from RNAcentral.